UAUCUAUCUAUCUAUCUAUCUAUCUAUCUAUCUAUCUAUUAUAAUUCAUAAUUUAUGAGAACAUUUUCAUUUUUAAUGUAAAACAGUGGUUUUGAAGUUUCUGUGAUUUCAGAUGUUUCUGACUUUUCCCUUCUCAUGUGUCUAAUGUAUUUUCUCCUCUAAACAUUUCAGGUCAAUUAAUUACCUACUCAGAGCCCAUAAAUGUGAAAUGAUCCAGUCUUUAAUAAAACAGACAAGCCUGAAGAACAAUACAACAGCAAACAAUUGUAAUGUUUCUACUUGUCUUUUGACCUUUUAACCUUUUGGAGAGAUUGUUGCUCUACUGUCUGGAUUAAAACAUCUAAAAUAUGAGUACAAAACAGAGAAGAUCUAGGAAAGCUUCAUCCACCCUGUAACCUCUCAUGGUUCCCUGAAGGAAAGGCCUAAAUUUAGCCUGCAACUGCUUUCUGGCCUGUUCUGGAAACGUGGGAAUGGAGGGAUCAUCAGGUUUAAUAAGGAAGCAGACACGGAUGCCGGCAGGUCUGAGCUGGGGCUUUAAGACGCUCAGAGAAUCUGCUGAAGCAAAAGGUGAGCCAGCAGUAAACGUACCUGCUGGGAGAGAGAGAGAGCGCCGCACAGGAAACAGGUGACUGCUUUGGCCGCUCCCAUUGAGAUGCUAAUGGGUCCAUGAGCCUGAAAACUUGUCCCCGGCGUUUGGACGGCGUCACGGGAGCCUCGUCGACCUUCUCUCGAGUCCUGGAGAAGCGAUUUUGAGAGAGAACAGAAUGUACCAUAUUCUUGACCCGUCUGCCUCAGAUGCUCGCUGUAUAUGGAACUGAAUACUGGACGUGAAUUGUAUCAUUCUCUGUGUCAACUUGUUAGAUGGCAGUUGCUGUAGUGGAGUGGUGAGAGCGGCACAUAUGCAUUAUAGGAGAAAAUUGUGAAAUGACAGAUUCCGGGUGUGAUACUGAGGGAAUGACUAACUAAUAGGAGGGGUGCUCCAGGCUGUUAGCUUUGAAAAGCAGUUUGCACAUUACUUUAUCUUGUCAAUCAGAUUCCUGGAAUGGAAGAGGUGACUGAUAACUUGAAUUAAUUAUUUUCUUAUUGCAUGCAUGUGUUAAUUCAUGUUAAUUUAUGUCCCUUACAGGCCCAAGCCAGAAUAUCCAGAGUAAAGCGCCACCUCUGGCACCCAGAUCACCACACCACUCUCUUUGCAUAUAUUUAUAUCAAAUGAAAGACUUUUUUUUAAUCCCGCUGGAACAAGGACCGACUGCCAAAUUUGAUUUUUAAAUGUACUUUUAAGCUGUUGUGGUUUACGUUAGCGUGUUUUUUCCCAACAACUGAGCGACGCGGAGCGGCAUUUGCGGCCGCGACGGGAUUUGAAAGUUCCAUUUUUUUGAUGGAGCAGAACCCCGAGAACGCGCCCAGAUAACAGGACGAGGCCCAACGUGGAGAGACAAGACUCAGCGAACCGGUUUUAGCGCGCCGGAGCUCUGCCCGCUCACUUUAAACAAUUGCAUUUCGCUGAACAUCUUUAAGCAUUUCUGACAAAUUUAACUUCCACUGAACACGGGGGAUGAGAGGAAAAACAUUUCUCUGAUGAGAACAGAAACAGCAAGAAGUUCUAACAAGGAAAAGCCUGCCAGGUGGCGAACUGGCUGCACCAACAGAACGCACAAUCUGUCUGCUUCUCCUUCCAAACCAUUGACAGCUGCCAUCACCAGCCUUGCACACUCGCACUCAGUGGCUCCUCAGCUCCCUGCCCAUCCCUCUUUAGUGUUUCCUGCUAACCUCAGAGACAGGGUCACCUGGCCCCCUAGUUGCCCGUCUGUGGGGCCCUGAUGGCCCCCUGGAGACCUGCCUGCAUGGGGAUGCGUGGCUAACAGGGGUCUAGCAAACUCUCUUUAAUAUGCAAACCAAGAGGCGAUUCCUUUGACCCGAGACCGUCGCUUUUCUAACAGUGAAAUCCAAAAAUAUUCAACGAUGAGAUUUGAUUAGUGCUUUUUGAUCCGCUUCUUAUUUGAUGCUGAAUAUUAUCACAGACAAACAGUCCCAUAAUCAGGUGUAUUCUCCAGUCAGGUGGGUCGUUUCUUUUUAAUUACACGUACGCGCGGCGCGAUAGAAUCGCAUUAUGUUCUUCCCCACCUCGUUGGAAAAGGCAGUUUGGGCGUUUUGUUAAACUGGAACCGCAUUUCUCCUCUGAGCGGAACCUAAGCGCACAGAUGCACAGAGGCUAAACUGAAGAGUGUUCCACAAAGCUAGCAUUGCAACUGGGCUAAAAAUAAAACCUGGCAAAGUUGUUCUGAUCCCUUAUUGGUCCCAUAGUUUGAUUUCACAUUUAGCAUUUGCAUUCCCCUCCGCAUAAACAUUUCAUUCUUCCCCUCCUGCAGUACAAUGAGACUUGAGUGACUUUGGCAGCAGAUUUUGGAUCGGUGCUCCUGAAUCCACCAGUGUAUGUUAUCAGCAGGUAAACAAGCUUUCGAACAAAGCCAUAAUGGAACUGCAAGCGGCAUAAAGAGGCUCAUCUCAAAAGCUAUACAACCCAUCAAAGCUGGUGUCAUUUCCUCAACACUGCACUGCAGCUGGAAAAUGCAUGGCUGUUAGUUACAGUUUAAAUCGCCCGUCUAUUUUCAGACACUUCACAACUAUUUCUAUUGAUUAUUUACUUGUCAGUAAGCAGCCAGAUUACCAAAAUAAGACAACAGAUUUGAAUGUUUACUGGAUUCUUCUCCCUUUUUGUUUGGUGGUGGGGAAUCAAAAACUGUGUCACGUACUAAAUUAAUGGGAUUUGCACUAUAGGGUGUUAAUAAUUAUUUUCUGGUGAAAAUGAAAUAGUUCUGUCUAUAUUUGGAAGGAUUACCGAUGGCAUUGAACUUAAUGUGAAAAUAAUUUGCCCUUUAAAUACGUGGUGACGCUAUAUCCUCCACUUACUGCUCACCAGAUGCAAUCUUGUUAACCGCACGCCUGGAUGCUUGUCACCAAACUUUCCACACAUUUGCCUUUUGGGUACGGCUCAGACGCAGAACUAAACCUACGCACUCUCCUCCCAGUGAGUGAAGGAGCCUCAAAGCCUCCCUUUCAAAUGCUGCAUUAUCUCUGUGGCGGUAAUUAUCCAUAAAACUAUGCCAUCAGAUGGUGAUGAUUUCCAAUAUGAACCCAAUAAACGUGUUUAAAAUUUGAAUUAUCAUAUUUAUGUGGAUAUGUGUUACUAAUAGUGAUUAUGCUCGUCAUGUGGGUAGAAAAUCAACCAUCCAUAUAUUGCGCAUUCUCACAUAUUUCUCAGACAUUUCAUCACACGUUUAAUCUGCCCCUGUCUAAGAUUUUCCACCGAACCUGUAGUCAAGGCACAGAGGGGACAAUAACGGAUGAGAUUAUGAAGCAUGUCUGUUAAAGCAUGUCUGUUUGAUCAUCAUUCUGUUUAGGUGAAGUUCUCCACUUGGUCUCUUCAGUCCCUGACAGCAGAUAUAUAACAUAAUCUCUUUCCCUAACCCUUUUCUUAGGUUUGAAUGGGGUGGAAAUGUGAUGGCAUUAAGUCGAUUUACUCCUUGGUUUGCAGUUUCAGCCUUAAUGCCUCUUGGCUCCUCUUCAACACACUCGUUCCAUUUAGAUUUUCGAAAAUAUAAAUGUUACGUUAAGGCUUCCCUAUUUAUUUUCAUUUAUCCAUCAUUUGAAGUUCAUGCAUAUAUUUAUUCGACAAAUAAUGCUUGUUUAUUUGCAGCUCCAUCCCUCCAGUAUAGAGUCAGAGAUAUUGGAAAAUCAAAUACAACUUGUGUAUUAUCUUCAAAUACGCCAGCUAUCAGUUACAAAGGGCAAGAUCUGAGACUGUAUGACAUUCUUUGUGAGUCGUCGCUGACAUCAUUGCGAUAUUUCACGUUUACUCAUCUAAACCUUAAUUUUGUGCCUGCAGCAUAUGUUGACAUGCAAAGAAAAGCUAAUACAAUGUCUUUGGAUUUCAGCUGAUGCUAUUUGAAGGCUGCAUUAAGCAUCUGUUAUUAUACGAUUAUUGAGGAGUAUUCGCAUUGAAUUGAUGCUUUUGUAACAAGUCACUUUUCCACUUUUGCAUAUUGUUAAUGAGGUGGUGUUAAAGCUGGGCAGGUUCCUCCCUGAAUCUGCUUUGUUAUUCCUAGCGCUAAAAAACUAUUUAAAGGCAUAUUUAGUAUUAAGUAACAUUAGGUCUUACAAGCCUCUGCACUAAUAAUGCCCAAUAUUAAAGGUGCAGAGAGAGUUUUUUUAUAUUUAUUAAGAAAGGUUCUCAUGAUGAUAAAGUCAGCUCAACAUUAACAGCAUGGUUGUUGUCUUUUAAAUCAUCUCUUAAAAUGUCUUUUGUUUUUUAAAAUAUAUAUUUAUUUAAAUCUGUAUAAAACGUGUCUGUACAGUAGAUUAAGGUGUGUUACUCUGUGUGUAUCCAUUUACUGUAGAAUAUAACUUGAUUUAUAUUUUAUGAUGAUUAUUCAUUUUUACUUAGAAUCUAUAUUUUUUCUCAUGUCCUCAUGGAACAAACCCUGGUUUAAUGAACGCCAAAUAAAUAGAA
Molecule: long non-coding RNA, 4510 nt
Organism: Betta splendens (Siamese fighting fish)
Lineage: Eukaryota; Metazoa; Chordata; Actinopteri; Anabantiformes; Osphronemidae
Exons: 4
Source: RefSeq, a predicted model, not a curated record